AACAAAUUUCUAAGAUUUAAUUGCUCGCACUUUUGUCCGGUACCUCAACCAAGAAAACGCCACGAGCUAAACUUCCCUGCCAGGCAAGCCGGCGGGUUAUGAGGUAGGGUGGGCAAGUGUUUUUCCUGUAUUUAUUGGGGAGUAAAACCGCCGCGCCAGGUGGUCCUUUUAAGUCUGAUGUGAAACCCCCCCGGCCUCCCCCCCGUGGAGGGUCAGUGGAAACUGGGGGGACCUUGAGUGCAGAAGAGGAAAGUGGAAUUUCCAAGUGUAGCGGUGAAAUGCGUAGAGAUGUGGAGGAACACCAGUGGCGAAGACGACUUUCUGGUCUGUAACUGCCAAUGAGGCGCGAAAGCGUGGGGAGAAAACACAAUUAGAUACCCUGGUAGUCCACGCCGUAAACGAUGAGUGCUAAGUGUUAGAGGGUUUCCGCCCUUUAGUGCUGCAGCUACCGCAUUAAGCACUCCGCCUGGGGAGUACGGUCGCAAGACUGAAACUCAAAAGAAUUGACGGGGGCCCGCACAAGCGGUGGAGCAUGUGGUUUUAUUCGAAGCAACGCGAAGAACCUUACCAGGUCUUGACAUCCUCUGACACUCCUAGAGAUAGGACGUUCCCCUUCGGGGGACAGAGUGACAGGUGGUGCAUGGUUGUCGUCAGCUCGUGUCGUGAGAUGUUGGGUUAAGUCCCGCAACGAGCGCAACCCUUGAUCUUAGUUGCCAGCAUUCAGUUGGGCACUCUAAGGUGACUGCCGGUGACAAACCGGAGGAAGGUGGGGAUGACGUCAAAUCAUCAUGCCCCUUAUGACCUGGGCUACACACGUGCUACAAUGGACGGUACAAAGGGCAGCAAAACCGCGAGGUCGAGCCAAUCCCAUAAAACCGUUCUCAGUUCGGAUUGCAGGCUGCAACUCGCCUGCAUGAAGCCGGAAUCACUAGUAAUCGCGAAUCUGCAUGCCGCGGUGAAUACGUUCCCGGGCCUUGUACCCACCCCCUUUCCCCCACGAGAGUUUGUAACACCCGAAGUCGGUGGGGUAACCUUUGGAGCCAGCCGCCCUAAAGGGGAACCAAUGG
RNAcentral lists this ribosomal RNA (1067 nucleotides) under Bacillus sp. (in: firmicutes). Its description in RNAcentral is "bacterial SSU rRNA". The stretch from base 118 to 1067 matches the Rfam family "Bacterial small subunit ribosomal RNA". The record is from RNAcentral. Lineage: Bacteria; Bacillati; Bacillota; Bacilli; Caryophanales; Bacillaceae.